RNAcentral lists this small nucleolar RNA (173 nucleotides) under Schizosaccharomyces japonicus yFS275. Lineage: Eukaryota; Fungi; Ascomycota; Schizosaccharomycetes; Schizosaccharomycetales; Schizosaccharomycetaceae. The record is from RNAcentral.
CGCGUCUUCACUUCGACUCUCGGUGGAUUCUUCCUGUUCCAUCGAUUGAGGCGAAGCCUUUUCCCGCAGCUGCUCGCGGCUGCCUGAGGAGGAAACCAAGACGAGAAUGAGUGAUCAGUCUUUGAGUACGGCUGCUUCUUGUGGGGCAGUUGUAAUUUAGUACUGGCACAUUC